GGCGGGGUGCUUACCAUGCAAGUCGACGAUGAACCGGUGCUUGCAUCGGGGAUUAGUGGCGAACGGGUGAGUAACACGUGAGUAACCUGCCCUUGACUCUGGGAUAAGCCUGGGAAACUGGGUCUAAUACCGGAUAUGACCUUCCAUCGCAUGGUGGUUGGUGGAAAGCUUUUGUGGUUUUGGAUGGACUCGCGGCCUAUCAGCUUGUUGGUGAGGUAAUGGCUUACCAAGGCGACGACGGGUAGCCGGCCUGAGAGGGUGACCGGCCACACUGGGACUGAGACACGGCCCAGACUCCUACGGGAGGCAGCAGUGGGGAAUAUUGCACAAUGGGCGCAAGCCUGAUGCAGCGACGCCGCGUGAGGGAUGACGGCCUUCGGGUUGUAAACCUCUUUCAGUAGGGAAGAAGCGAAAGUGACGGUACCUGCAGAAGAAGCGCCGGCUAACUACGUGCCAGCAGCCGCGGUAAUACGUAGGGCGCAAGCGUUAUCCGGAAUUAUUGGGCGUAAAGAGCUCGUAGGCGGUUUGUCGCGUCUGCCGUGAAAGUCCGGGGCUCAACUCCGGAUCUGCGGUGGGUACGGGCAGACUAGAGUGAUGUAGGGGAGACUGGAAUUCCUGGUGUAGCGGUGAAAUGCGCAGAUAUCAGGAGGAACACCGAUGGCGAAGGCAGGUCUCUGGGCAUUAACUGACGCUGAGGAGCGAAAGCAUGGGGAGCGAACAGGAUUAGAUACCCUGGUAGUCCAUGCCGUAAACGUUGGGCACUAGGUGUGGGGGACAUUCCACGUUUUCCGCGCCGUAGCUAACGCAUUAAGUGCCCCGCCUGGGGGAGUACGGCCGCAAGGCUAAACUCAAAGGAAUUGACGGGGGCCCGCACAAGCGGCGGAGCAUGCGGAUUAAUUCGAUGCAACGCGAGAACCUUACCAAGGCUUGACAUGGACCGGACCGCCGCAGAAUGUGUUUCCCCUUUGGGGCUGGCUUACAGGUGGUGCAUGGCUGUCGUCAGCUCCUGUCGGUGAGAUGUGGGGUAGUUCCCGCAACGAAUCGCAUCCUCGUUCUAUGUGCCAGCACCGUGAUGUGCGAC
RNAcentral lists this ribosomal RNA (1081 nucleotides) under Actinomycetota bacterium. Its description in RNAcentral is "bacterial SSU rRNA". It matches the Rfam family "Bacterial small subunit ribosomal RNA", at positions 38 to 1137 of the family's 1533-position model. Lineage: Bacteria; Bacillati; Actinomycetota. The record is from RNAcentral.